This is a regulatory RNA element of Roseovarius pacificus, 102 nucleotides long. It matches the Rfam family "Repression of heat shock gene expression (ROSE) element". Rfam says of the family: This family represents a 5' UTR cis-regulatory element found in heat shock mRNAs and is known as the ROSE (repression of heat shock gene expression) element. The ROSE element is a negative regulator of heat shock gene expression. The secondary structure is thought to be regulated by temperature. Lineage: Bacteria; Pseudomonadati; Pseudomonadota; Alphaproteobacteria; Rhodobacterales; Roseobacteraceae. The record is from Rfam.
CUGAUCGCCCAGAUGGGGAUCGGUGACAAGGCGGGACGCCGUUCCUGCGGUGCUUCCGUCGUCUGUACCCAUGUUGCUCAAAGGAGGAUAUGGCUAUGGCAA